RNAcentral lists this ribosomal RNA (301 nucleotides) under uncultured bacterium. Its description in RNAcentral is "partial 16S ribosomal RNA". It matches the Rfam family "Bacterial small subunit ribosomal RNA", at positions 509 to 809 of the family's 1533-position model. The record is from RNAcentral.
CAGUCGCCACGGUAAUACGAAGGGGGCUAGCGUUGCUCGGAAUCACUGGGCGUAAAGCGCGCGCAGGCGGAUCAGUUAGUCUGUCUUAAAAGUUCGGGGCUCAACCCCGUGAUGGGAAAGAAACUACAUGUCUUGAGUACAGGAGAGGAAAGCGGAAUUCCCAGUGUAGCGGUGAAAUGCGUAGAUAUUGGGAGGAACACCAGUGGCGAAGGCGGCUUUCUGGACUGCAACUGACGCUGAGGCUCGAAAGCCAGGGGAGCGAACGGGAUUAGAUACCCCAGUAGUCCCUGUCUCUUAUACA